AUUCCAGCUCCAAUAGCGUAUAUUAAAGUUGUUGCAGUUAAAAAGCUCGUAGUUGGAUUUCUGGUUUGAUGCCCUGGCCCGCUUCAAAUUUUGGAGUGUGUGCCGGCUGUGCGUCUGCCAUCCUUCUAGAAAACGUUCGUACCCUUCACUGGGCCGCGUUCGAGAUCUAGAUCUUUUACUUUGAAAAAAUUAGAGUGUUUAAAGCAGGCAGUUGCUAUGAAUACAUUAGCAUGGAAUAAUAAUCUAGGACUUCGGUUCUAUUUUGUUGGUUUCUAGUACUGAAGUAAUGAUUGAUAGGGACAGUCAGGGGCACUCGUAUUCCGCCGAGAGAGGUGAAAUUCUCAGACCAGCGGAAGACGAACCACUGCGAAAGCAUUCACCAAGGAUGUCUUCAUCA
This 397-nucleotide ribosomal RNA is filed under the name Botuliformidae sp. RNAcentral's name for it is "partial small subunit ribosomal RNA". It matches the Rfam family "Eukaryotic small subunit ribosomal RNA", at positions 582 to 975 of the family's 1831-position model. Lineage: Eukaryota; Cercozoa; Thecofilosea. The record is from RNAcentral.